UGGGAGUCAGAACAUGGGUGAUAAGGUCCGUGUUCGAAAGGGAAACAGCCCAGACCACCAGCUAAGGUCCCAAAAUAUAUGUUAAGUGGAAAAGGAUGUGGCGUUACCCAGACAACUAGGAUGUUGGCUUAGAAGCAGCCAUCAUUUAAAGAGUGCGUAAUAGCUCACUAGUCGAGUGACACUGCGCCGAAAAUGUACCGGGGCUAAACAUAUUACCGAAGCUGUGGAUUGUC
Molecule: ribosomal RNA, 233 nt
Filed under: Staphylococcus capitis
Lineage: Bacteria; Bacillati; Bacillota; Bacilli; Caryophanales; Staphylococcaceae
Description: partial 23S ribosomal RNA
Rfam family: Bacterial large subunit ribosomal RNA
Source: RNAcentral